This 371-nucleotide ribosomal RNA is filed under the name uncultured organism. Its description in RNAcentral is "partial 16S ribosomal RNA". It matches the Rfam family "Bacterial small subunit ribosomal RNA", at positions 527 to 896 of the family's 1533-position model. The record is from RNAcentral.
GAAGGGGGCUAGCGUUGCUCGGAAUCACUGGGCGUAAAGGGCGCGUAGGCGGCCGAUUAAGUCGGGGGUGAAAGCCUGUGGCUCAACCACAGAAUUGCCUUCGAUACUGGUUGGCUUGAGACCGGAAGAGGACAGCGGAACUGCGAGUGUAGAGGUGAAAUUCGUAGAUAUUCGCAAGAACACCAGUGGCGAAGGCGGCUGUCUGGUCCGGUUCUGACGCUGAGGCGUGAAAGCGUGGGGGAGCAAACAGGAUUAGAUACCCUGGUAGUCCACGCCGUAAACGAUGAAUGCCCAGCCGUUGGCCUGCUUGCAGGUCAGUGGCGCCGCUAACGCAUUAAGCAUUCCGCCUGGGGAGUACGGUCGCAAGAUUA